This is a long non-coding RNA of Xyrauchen texanus (razorback sucker), 2936 nucleotides long. RefSeq lists it as uncharacterized. NCBI's taxonomy places the organism in Eukaryota, Metazoa, Chordata, Actinopteri, Cypriniformes, Catostomidae. The transcript has 3 exons. The record is from RefSeq and is a predicted model, not a curated record.
AACAAUUCACAACAUUUCUUUAGGAAGGAGACGAGUGUGAAACGUUAAAUAGUUUGAGCUUCACAAACACCUUGGAUUUGAUUGAAGACCCGUUUCACUCCAUGUGGCUUUUACACAGUUACAUAUCGAACUACUCAACAAUAGACGUCCGACUUCUCGAAUUCAACGCCUUGAAGAAACGCUUACGGACAUUCUCGUGUUAUGUACAAGAUGACGUGCAAGGUGGAGUGGUGGUGGCGUGGGAUAAAGCACAGAACGGGUAUGCAGAAGGUUGCCAGUUCAAUCCCAACAACCACCACAAGGCUUCAGGUUGCUCCAAGGGGGUUGCAAUGUAAGACACUCUGGAUAAAAGCAUCUGCCAAAUGCAUAAAUGUAAAUAGAGCCUGCAUAGCCAGCGUCCUCACUGCAUAGUGAUGCCUGCCCACAGUGGGAGGUUCAGGCAUUGACAGACCACAGUUAUGCCUAAUGUUAGACAAGUCAACACAAUGCUGUUCAGAAGAACCCUCUUUAUUGUACACUAGCUUCAGUCUUAGUGUCUUCAAAGAGCAUUUUGAAGGGGUUUUCCUUUAAAACAACCUUCCUGGGGCGGGGGAGACCCCUUCUGUUUCCUGAGAACGCGGCGGAGCGUUCUGUCCACUAGGGGCCGGAAGACUGCCUCCGAUUCGCCCGGGGAGGAGCGGCUGUCGUCCAUUAGAGGGUGGAGGAGUGGCAGAGGACCAAGCUGCGGCAUAUCAGAGAACCGAUGAGUAGAUGGGGAUGACCUGCCGGCAGAAGGGGCAGAGGGCCCACCCCUCCCCACGGAAAGAGGGGUGGGAUGUACAUCAUGCCGGGGGCUCACCGGCCUGAGAGAAUGAGGGAGGAGUGUGGCAGGGCCGGGUCGUGAUGCUACACACCCGGCCCCUAAUCAGGCUAAUUGGCCCUCGAGAGGGAUAAAGGCCGACCGAAGACGGCAGUGCGACAGAGAGAGAGAUUUACAGACAGCUGUCCGACACCUGCGUGUGUUUGUCUUUUUGUAUAAGUUGCUUAUUAAACUAUUAUUUAAAUUGUCAAGCCAGUUCUCGCCUCCUCCUAUCCACUGAUCCCUUUACAGUAAACUUUCAUUUUACAAAUGUUCAAAUGUAAAUGUGCUGUAAUUACAGUAGUCACCAUUUCUUUGAAGUUUUGCACAAUUUUUAAUCACUUUUGCCUUCGCUAUUGUUCAUUUUAAAAGGACAUGCAGUGUGACAUGUUUUGUUAUUAAGUACAAAUACUCCAUGUAUUCGCUCAAUUAAUGAACUCGUAAAAUUCAACUAAUUCAAAUCUAUUAUGUUUAUUGUAAGGCUCUCAUUGCAGGCCUCUCUGCAUGUGCUAUAAGACCUCUACAAAUGACCCAGAAUGCAGCAGCAUGUCUGGUCUUUAAUGAACAGAGCACAUGUUACACCCCUCCUCGUCUCUCUCCACUGGCUGCCGGUUGAUGCACGUAUAAAAGUCAAGGCUCUGAUGCUGCAUACAGAAACAGAACAGUCACUGGGUCUGCUCCAACAUACCUAAAAUUAUUUAUGCAGAUCUACACUCCUGCCAGAAGCCUGCGGUCGGCUAAUGAACGUCGCCUUGUUGUACCAACACAAAGAGGCCCCAAAACACUUUCCCGGACUCUCAGUUUCAUCAUACCACGGUGGUGGAAUGACCUUCCCAACUCCAUCCAUGAAGCGGACUCACUCUCUAUCUUCAAAAAAUGGCUAAAAACACAUCUUUUCCAAGAGCACUUAACCGGUCACUAAGAAAACUAUUCUUGUUGCACUUAAAUCUGUUUUGUAUACUAUUCUGAUGAUAGUGAAACUUUGUAGUACGGCACUUUUUAUGGUCUCCUUAAGAGGAUUCGCUGAUGUUUUCCUCUUUUGUAAGUGGUUUUGGAUAAAAGCAUCUGCCAAAUUAAUUAAUGUAACUGCGUAAGUGAAAAGGUGCGGCUACAUUGUUACUCUUAAGUGUCUUGAAUUGCCUGGAUGCCACAAACCUGUUUAUAGUCAUGAGACUUAAAGACAAGCCACCAAGACAACAGUUUUAGCACACUGCAUAACCUGUGUGUCAAAAUGUCAUUAUUUAAAGCUUAUAAGACCGGGUGAAGACAGACUUGAUCUGAAGUGGAAAGAAAUGUUUUUCUGUCUAAUGUAUCCGUCAAUGAGUAUAAAUGUUGUUUAUUUUCAGAAACAUGUUUGACGCUGCAGGAUUUUAAACAAACACGAGUAUCACAGAUAAUUGUGUCCAUGAGAAUCUUUAUUUACAUUUAUAAACACUUGCCUGAUGGUACAUGAACAUCAAAUGAACUCGAACAUGUUCGUACAGUUGCUUUUUGUGUUUGCUAAAUUUCAUUAGACCUUUCUCAAAACAAGACUUCAAAUCUUUUGCCAGUUUGCUUGUCAAGUAAUUAAAUGACGUUUUAAGAAUGUUUACAUCAUUUUACUGGAAAACAAGACAAAAAUACUUGUCUUGAGAAUGAUUUAUUGCAGUGAAACUGGACUGACCAUGUUAUGAACGAUGUAUUCUUUCUUAACGAACAUAUCCUGAUAUAAUAUACUGCAGGAAAUAAGCAGGAGCUACACAAAUGACGGAUUAUACCCAGGGAAGUAAAAGUGACUGUUCAAGACAUUGUUCGUUUUAUUCGUGUGACCCCAGGAAGACUAGUGACCACUUUAUGGAAGCUCAUGAGGAUCAAAAUACAGAAUAUAGACACAUUGCCUCAACCAAUGAGGUGAGGACUGUUCAAACAGUUGAUGUCAUUAUUUUGCAAUGACACAUUUCACCUUUGAAAGCUCAUUUUCCAUUGAAGUGUUGAAGUGGGCUUUAUUUUAAGAAACACAGCUGGAGGUGGAAAAGAAAUACUUCAAGCAGCCAGCAGAUAGUGCUAUUGUUUUAGUUUGUUGUCUGUACCUGUCAUGACUUGCAGUGAUGUAGAGUCU